RNAcentral lists this transfer-messenger RNA (123 nucleotides) under Acinetobacter sp. RNAcentral's name for it is "partial transfer-messenger RNA". It matches the Rfam family "transfer-messenger RNA", at positions 249 to 374 of the family's 374-position model. Rfam says of the family: Bacterial tmRNA, also known as 10Sa RNA or SsrA, is named for its dual tRNA and mRNA-like properties. The record is from RNAcentral. Lineage: Bacteria; Pseudomonadati; Pseudomonadota; Gammaproteobacteria; Moraxellales; Moraxellaceae.
GAUCGCGAUUUGUACCCUGUUCGUCGGGUCACAAAGAGUUAAAAUAGUAGACGAUAUCUAAGCAUGUAGUAUUCUCGAGUGUAGUGCUGGCGGACGCGGGUUCAACUCCCGCCACCUCCACCA